UUUAACUUGGCAUUUAUAACUUGUGUCAAAAAUAGAAACUUUGUUCAGCGUGGAAGGUACAAGAGUUAUCAUCUUCUAAAGGGAGAUAAAGAGAAGGCACGGCUUUGCUGGAGUAAAACUCUGCCAAACUUCUUUGACUUUGAGAAGGGUACAGACAAGGUUGACAGUGUCAAUGCAUCCAACAUGAUUUAUCAGGAGUUUCAGAAAGCCCUCAAUAAAGUUCCACAUGACAGACGUCCGUUUAAGGCAAAAGCUACAGAGAUCCAGGGUAGGGCAUGGAAGUGAAUAAAGAGCUAGUUAAGAAACAGAACACAGAGGGGCUACUUACAUGAUGAAGCUACAUUGCCUUCCAGAUAAGGUUGGUAAUGGCUAUGCUUUCUGACAUAAUUGUGUUCGUUUUCAGAGUUGAGAGAGACAUCUGAAAAUGUUUAUUGUGAGAGCUUUGCAGAAACCAGAGAAACUAGGUGCUUAAUAGCCUAGACAAGAUUAAUUUGGAGUUAAACUGCCCCUAGCCUGGUUAUUGUUUUUACAGAUUGUCGCAGUAUUUGAUCAAGAUGGGAGGCAGAAAAUAAACACUUGCAGUGAACCAGCAAGUCGGCUCCUUAACGGUAGAGACAGAUGCAACUGCUAAGAUGGAGCUGAUAUACUUCAGUGAUGCAGUAGCAGAGAAAUACUGAGCUGGGAGUUGGGAGACCUGGGUUUUAGUGCUGGGUGUGCUGCCAGGACUCAUUAUGCGACCUUUGGCUUUCAGAUAGACCAAUAAUUCUCAAAUUGUCUCUCCUGGAUCUAUUUUCUAGAUGCUUUGUAGUGACCAGUUGGAAGGAGAUUCAGAAAGUUCCUGAUACUGUGGGGCCAUCUUAGCUCCACCUCCUGGGUUGAGCUUUCGAGAAAUUUAGGAAUUCUAUGAAGCAGAGGUCCAUGACUAAGAGGAAAUGCAGAGCAAAAAAAAAAAGUGUUCCUGAUACCCAGGGGGAUACAGUGAGCAGGAGGAAGAGAAGGAAGAAGAAGCAAAGGAGAACUGGAUUACCAACAGUGCAGUUUGUGUGCAUCUGCUGCCAAUUUGAAGGAGCAACUAAUUCACAAACUCUAUGGAAAGCACGUUGAACUGUUCUAGGAUUUUUCUCAUGCUUCAUGAAAACAGAGAUCAUAACUGGGAAACCAACUGUAAAAUUAAAAGAACUAGAUGUUGCCAAUAAAGACCAUCAUUUCAGGAAAAUAAAUUUGUUU
Monodelphis domestica (gray short-tailed opossum) is the source of this 1227-nucleotide long non-coding RNA. The record is from Ensembl. Lineage: Eukaryota; Metazoa; Chordata; Mammalia; Didelphimorphia; Didelphidae.